GAUGAACGCUGGCGGCGUGCUUAAUACAUGCAAGUCGAGCGAACGGACGAGAAGCUUGCUUCUCUGAUGUUAGCGGCGGACGGGUGAGUAACACGUGGAUAACCUACCUAUAAGACUGGGAUAACUUCGGGAAACCGUAGCUAAUACCGGAUAAUAUUUUGAACCGCAUGGUUCAAAAGUGAAAGACGGUCUUGCUGUCACUUAUAGAUGGAUCCGCGCUGCAUUAGCUAGUUGGUAAGGUAACGGCUUACCAAGGCAACGAUGCAUAGCCGACCUGAGAGGGUGAUCGGCCAAACUGGAACUGAGACACGGUCCAGACUCCUACGGGAGGCAGCAGUAGGGAAUCUUCCGCAAUGGGCGAAAGCCUGACGGGGCAACGCCGCGUGAGUGAUGAAGGUCUUCCGAUCGUAAAACUCCGUUAUUAGGGAAGGACAUAUGUGUAAGUAACUGUGCACAUCUUGACGGUACCUAAUCAGAAAGCCACGGCUAACUACGUG
This 497-nucleotide ribosomal RNA is filed under the name uncultured bacterium. Its description in RNAcentral is "partial 16S ribosomal RNA". It matches the Rfam family "Bacterial small subunit ribosomal RNA", at positions 28 to 507 of the family's 1533-position model. The record is from RNAcentral.